RNAcentral lists this transfer RNA (71 nucleotides) under Croceicoccus naphthovorans. Its description in RNAcentral is "tRNA-OTHER". Lineage: Bacteria; Pseudomonadati; Pseudomonadota; Alphaproteobacteria; Sphingomonadales; Erythrobacteraceae. The record is from RNAcentral.
GGGUUAGCAGAUGAGCAAAAAAGGAACUUUUAAUCAGUAGGUCGCUGGUUCGAACCCAGCAGGGCUCACCA